ACGGCCCAGACUCCUACGGGAGGCAGCAGUGGGGAAUUUUGGACAAUGGGCGCAAGCCUGAUCCAGCCAUGCCGCGUGCGGGAAGAAGGCCUUCGGGUUGUAAACCGCUUUUGUCAGGGAAGAAAUCCUUUGAGCUAAUACCUCGGGGGGAUGACGGUACCUGAAGAAUAAGCACCGGCUAACUACGUGCCAGCAGCCGCGGUAAUACGUAGGGUGCGAGCGUUAAUCGGAAUUACUGGGCGUAAAGCGUGCGCAGGCGGUCUUGCAAGACAGGUGUGAAAUCCCCGGGCUUAACCUGGGAACUGCACUUGUGACUGCAAGGCUGGAGUACGGCAGAGGGGGAUGGAAUUCCGCGUGUAGCAGUGAAAUGCGUAGAUAUGCGGAGGAACACCGAUGGCGAAGGCAAUCCCCUGGGCCUGUACUGACGCUCAUGCACGAAAGCGUGGGGAGCAAACAGGAUUAGAUACCCUGGUAGUCCACGCCCUAAACGAUGUCAACUGGUUGUUGGACGGCUUGCUGUUCAGUAACGAAGCUAACGCGUGAAGUUGACCGCCUGGGGA
This 560-nucleotide ribosomal RNA is filed under the name bacterium PE03-7G13. Its description in RNAcentral is "bacterial SSU rRNA". It matches the Rfam family "Bacterial small subunit ribosomal RNA", at positions 326 to 879 of the family's 1533-position model. The record is from RNAcentral.